UAGGUUAGGCAGGACGGCGCGACGUCGCUACCAGUCGCUACGCGUCGCGGCGCAUUUCAACUCGCAUCUUCAUCGUCCCAUACGAGUUUUUGAGGCGAGCGAGUGUUUCGAAAGUACCGUGGAGUGUCGGGUGUUCGUACUAACAUCCGUCGUGUCAGAAUCGAAUACGAUGCAUGAUGCGAAGUCGUGUCGUGUUCAAUCGUGUUUUGCAUUUUCUCCAUUGCCUCGUAUCCCGAGUUUUCGACGUCCAGGAGUGCCGUAAACAAAAGGUCGCGCGUUCGUGGUAAAUGCGAAUCAAGACCAAUCGUCGUGAGCAGGAUCUUGGAUCUCGAGUGUAUAACAUACUAGUGGACGUUUGGGGGCGCUAAUGAACGGGGACUCAAUCGGUCCCACGAAAAAGGCUAGGAUGGCCGCUCUCAGGUUUUUCUUUGCUCCUUGGCCGCUACCGCGUUAGUGCGCUAUCGUCGCCGUUGCCGGUGCUGCCCGCUGCCAUUUCCGUGUUUGUUUUUGUUUCGCGUAGUCGAACGCUCUGUUUUUCGCGCGUGUAGAUACCGAGUUCGAAUUGUGUGCAGGUAUGCUUGCGAAAGUGCCGAAUGUUGUUAUACGUGCGUAACAGUGUCGUACGAGGAAACGAUCAUGCUAGCUCAUGAAGCUCGACAUUAUGUGCUCGAGUAGGACGCAUCAAGAUCGCGAAAAUGGUACGCGACUGGUGUCGUGCGAUCACGUUAGAUAGAUUUUCGAAUGGGAGCAAGUUGUUUCAUCUUUAUCUAUUUUAUCUACGCAUGCAUUCAUUAUUCGAACGGCUCUCACCGCUGCCUCGGUUGAUGUGACGCGGAACCUUUGUUCCUUGAUUCGCCACAUUUGUCGUUGCUUGCUUCUUCUCGGGCACUUUCCACGUUUGGUCAGAGAGGAAGUCAGAGAGGAACUUCUCUGAUCAAGUGUAAGAUGUCGAAAGUGACUAAUGUAAGAACGGACGAGCGUCUUAACGCGAAUCACAGCGUGAAAUAAUGCUAGGACGUUGUAUUCACGUUCGUGUGGGGUAUACUAUCUGCGAAAUCGGGAUCGAGAGUUAAAUAAAUAAGUAUCGGGCGAUCGUUAUUAAUGUGCAUUUCGAGGUGAGCAGUAAAACGAGAUGUCAACAGACUUUUUGCGAGAUGACAUCCAUGAAGUGUAACUUGAAUUCGGAAAAAGAAUACAGCAGCAGCAGCAGUGCAGUAAUAGCAACAACAAUCGAAUCGAGCGGAAAGGAAAUGCAGCAGCAGCAACAACCGAUUUACUCGCAGAUUUACAAGAUCUGAGAGGAGGAGGAGGCCUGGGAGAGGCAUCUGGCCCCGGCGGAGCAACCUUGGGUAAUCACCGUAGCUUCGUGGCUGAUUAACUCCGCUCGUUGCGCAUCGGAUCGGUGAGUUAGAAAUUAAUUUUUGUAUUGUAUUUUAAUGCUUUCUAAAUAAUCUGCGUAGGAUUAAAAAAAAUUACACUGUUACUAUUAACUCCUCAAUACACAUAAUUAAAAUACGCUAUCUCCGUGAUGAUAGCCGCUUACGAAGUUAGCAGCGAAAGAACCAAUCGGCAUCGCGGAAAAGCGACAACAAUAACUCGGAUAUAUUCUUUAAAUAUCUUUUUUUUUAGA
Long non-coding RNA from Solenopsis invicta (red fire ant), 1630 nucleotides. RefSeq lists it as uncharacterized. Lineage: Eukaryota; Metazoa; Arthropoda; Insecta; Hymenoptera; Formicidae. The record is from RefSeq and is a predicted model, not a curated record. The transcript has 5 exons.